GAUGAACGCUAGCGGGAGGCCUAACACAUGCAAGCCGAGCGGUAUUGUUUCUUCGGAAAUGAGGGAGCGGCGUACGGGUGCGUAACACGUGUGCAACCUGCCUUUAUCUGGGGGAUAGCCUUUCGAAAGGAAGAUUAAUACUCCAUAAUAUAUUGAACGGCAUCGUUUAAUAUUGAAAGCUCCGGCGGAUAGAGAUGGGCACGCGCAAGAUUAGCUAGUUGGUGAGGUAACGGCUCACCAAGGCGAUGAUCUUUAGGGGGCCUGAGAGGGUGCUACCCCACACUGGUACUGAGACACGGACCAGACUCCUACGGGAGGCAGCAGUGAGGAAUAUUGGUCAAUGGGUGCAAGCCUGAACCAGCCACCCCGCGUGAAGGACGACUGCCCUAUGGGUUGUAAACUUCUUUUGUAUAGGGAUAAACCUACCCUCGUGAGGGUAGCUGAAGGUACUAUACGAAUAAGCACCGGCUAACUCCGUGCCAGCCGCCGCCGUAA
RNAcentral lists this ribosomal RNA (495 nucleotides) under uncultured bacterium. RNAcentral's name for it is "partial 16S ribosomal RNA". It matches the Rfam family "Bacterial small subunit ribosomal RNA", at positions 28 to 523 of the family's 1533-position model. The record is from RNAcentral.